This 1530-nucleotide long non-coding RNA is filed under the name Cricetulus griseus (Chinese hamster). RNAcentral describes it as "lncRNA (ENSCGRG00015040613.1)". The record is from RNAcentral. Lineage: Eukaryota; Metazoa; Chordata; Mammalia; Rodentia; Cricetidae.
GCCUCAAAUGACCUUUCCCCAUCAUGAACUUCAUGUCUCAAAACAGAAAGCCACAUCCUGUUCCCUUGUGCAGUGUGCCCCUCCCCAUGAUUCUGCUCAAGCUGUUUCCUGUGUCAUACCUCUCUCUCUUUGGCUAGCUGGGCUCAUUACUCUGGGCUCAAGGACCGAGAAUCCUACAUGGAGCUAAAUGCAUGUCUUCUGAAGUCCAGCUACAGUAGCACAAAAAUGACCGUCAUCUAAGUUAGAUUACAUGGAAAUUGGAAGUUGGAGAAACCAUGUGGGGCCACAGAGAGGUAGAGGUGGCAGAGGAGCACCAGCUGUACCAGUAUCCAUCCCUCUGAGGCUUCCUAGUGAGAACUGUCAAACUGGAGUGUGCUAGCCUGCAGAGAAUGCCAAUCCCUGGACUUCAAGUCUGAAGCAUCUCUACCUGGACCAGUUAGCAGAGAUGAAAAGAAAUAGCUCCAAAGCAGCUCUACCUGGACCAGUUAACAGAGAUGAAAAGAAAAAGCAUCAUUGGUCCAUUUGAGUCCUGUGUGUUGAUUAUUUAUCUUGCCCCUCUUAUCCUGUUGAAGGGAACAGUGUUUUGCACAAGACAUUUCAAGGCCAAGUUCUCAGCACAAAGGAGAUUUACUUGCCCCAGAGGAACAGAGGGCAGGGAAAAAGAGACAGAGACAAGAGAUAGAGGACAAGGGAGAAGGGGAAAGGAACAGGGGAGAUGGAGAAGGGGUGUUUGUCCUGAAGGACAAAGGAUUGCCUCUGGAUAGAGAGGAGACAGAUGUGGCCCACAGGAAAACGGUGGUUUAUAAAGGUAAAUGAGGAAACCCUGUGUUAGGAUGAGGUGCCUAAUUUUGAUUAGACAGGUUAAUUAGGGUGACCACAAGGGGGCUUUUGAUUGCUAGACUUCAGUUCUUUUAGCUGGACCUUGGCAGUCAGUCUCAGGGGGAGGAAGUGGCCAGACAGGGGAGCAGACCUUGCAGGCUAGCUUUAGGAAUGCAAUUUAAUAUUUUUCUCAAGGAAGAAGGAAUAGGGGAGAAAGGCAAGACCUGCCAGAGCCAUUUUUGCCAUGGCCAGGCCACGAGUCCCUGCCAAGUACAUGGUGAUCCUUAAUGUCAGCACUCGGGAGGCAGAGGCAAGCAUAUCUCUGAUUUCAAAGCCAGCUUGGCCUACGAAAUGAGUUCCAGGCUAGCCAGGGCAGCAUGAUGAGGUCUGUCCAAAUAUAAAAUAAAAUUAAAGUCAAGGCAGGAAUGCAUGAACACCAUUCUCUUUCUCGCCCCUAUGGCAUUUCAGUAAUAAUAAACCGUAAUUAUUACCAGUAGGCAAAGCUUGGGAGUCUGCUUCUUCUGAUUCACCUUGGGGUUCGAAGACGUUUUCUUCGCAGAGCCCUCCUAGCAUUUGAUGGCUUUGUUCUUUCCUUGACAUUUUCAGCUUUUUAAAUAGAUGAAUAUUUAAUGUCAUGUUCCAUAGGCCAGAUUCUUUGAAGCCAAAUAUCAUGGGUUAGUUCUCACUUUUUAAAGGGGUGGUGGUCACUCA